This 1347-nucleotide ribosomal RNA is filed under the name uncultured bacterium. RNAcentral's name for it is "bacterial SSU rRNA". It matches the Rfam family "Bacterial small subunit ribosomal RNA", at positions 28 to 1381 of the family's 1533-position model. The record is from RNAcentral.
GACGAACGCUGGCGGCGUGCUUAACACAUGCAAGUCGAACGAUGAAGCCUAGCUUGCUAGGUGGAUUAGUGGCGAACGGGUGAGUAAUACGUGAGUAACCUACCUUUAACUCUGGGAUAAGCCUGGGAAACUGGGUCUAAUACCGGAUACGACCAAUCUCCGCAUGGGGUGUUGGUGGAAAGCGUUAUGUAGUGGUUAUAGAUGGGCUCACGGCCUAUCAGCUUGUUGGUGAGGUAACGGCUCACCAAGGCGACGACGGGUAGCCGGCCUGAGAGGGUGACCGGCCACACUGGGACUGAGACACGGCCCAGACUCCUACGGGAGGCAGCAGUGGGGAAUAUUGCACAAUGGGCGCAAGCCUGAUGCAGCGACGCCGCGUGAGGGAUGACGGCCUUCGGGUUGUAAACCUCUGUUAGCAGGGAAGAAGAGAGAUUGACGGUACCUGCAGAGAAAGCGCCGGCUAACUACGUGCCAGCAGCCGCGGUAAUACGUANGGCGCGAGCGUUGUCCGGAAUUAUUGGGCGUAAAGAGCUUGUAGCGGUUUGUCGCGUCUGCUGUGAAAGGCCGGAGCUUAACUCCGUGUAUUGCAGUGGGUACGGGCAGACUAGAGUGCAGUAGGGGAGACUGGAAUUCCUGGUGUAGCGGUGGAAUGCGCAGAUAUCAGGAGGAACACCGAUGGCGAAGGCAGGUCUCUGGGCUGUAACUGACGCUGAGAAGCGAAAGCAUGGGGAGCGAACAGGAUUAGAUACCCUGGUAGUCCAUGCCGUAAACGUUGGGCACUAGGUGUGGGGAACAUUCCACGUUUUCCGCGCCGUAGCUAACGCAUUAAGUGCCCCGCCUGGGGAGUACGGCCGCAAGGCUAAAACUCAAAGAAAUUGACGGGGGCCCGCACAAGCGGCGGAGCAUGCGGAUUAAUUCGAUGCAACGCGAAGAACCUUACCAAGGCUUGACAUAUACUGGACCGCAUCAGAGAUGGUGUUUCCCUUCGGGGCUGGUAUACAGGUGGUGCAUGGUUGUCGUCAGCUCGUGUCGUGAGAUGUUGGGUUAAGUCCCGCAACGAGCGCAACCCUCGUUCUAUGUUGCCAGCACGUUAUGGUGGGGACUCAUAGGAGACUGCCGGGGUCAACUCGGAGGAAGGUGGGGAUGACGUCAAAUCAUCAUGCCCCUUAUGUCUUGGGCUUCACGCAUGCUACAAUGGCCGGUACAGAGGGUUGCGAUACUGUGAGGUGGAGCUAAUCCCUAAAAGCCGGUCUCAGUUCGGAUUGGGGUCUGCAACUCGACCCCAUGAAGUCGGAGUCGCUAGUAAUCGCAGAUCAGCAACGCUGCGGUGAAUACGUUCCCGGGCCU